Ictidomys tridecemlineatus (thirteen-lined ground squirrel) is the source of this 69-nucleotide non-coding RNA. The record is from Rfam. NCBI's taxonomy places the organism in Eukaryota, Metazoa, Chordata, Mammalia, Rodentia, Sciuridae.
GGAGAUGUGGCUCUGUGGUAGAGUGUCUGCAUGGCAUGCACAAGGUCCUGGGUUCCAACCCCAUCACCA